GGCGGCAUGCCUAACACAUGCAAGUCGAACGAGACCUUCGGGUCUAGUGGCGCACGGGUGCGUAACGCGUGGGAAUCUGCCCUCUGGUACGGAACAACUCAGGGAAACUUGAGCUAAUACCGUAUAAUGACUUCGGUCCAAAGAUUUAUCGCCUGAGGAUGAGCCCGCGUAGGAUUAGCUUGUUGGUGAGGUAAAAGCUCACCAAGGCGACGAUCCUUAGCUGGUCUGAGAGGAUGAUCAGCCACACUGGGACUGAGACACGGCCCAGACUCCUACGGGAGGCAGCAGUGGGGAAUAUUGGACAAUGGGCGAAAGCCUGAUCCAGCAAUGCCGCGUGAGUGAUGAAGGCCUUAGGGUUGUAAAGCUCUUUUACCCGGGAUGAUAAUGACAGUACCGGGAGAAUAAGCCCCGGCUAACUCCGUGCCAGCAGCCGCGGUAAUACGGAGGGGGCUAGCGUUGUUCGGAAUUACUGGGCGUAAAGCGCACGUAGGUGGCUUUGUAAGUUAGAGGUGAAAGCCCGGGGCUCAACCCCGGAAUUGCCCUUAAGACUGCAUCGCUAGAAUUGUGGA
This 569-nucleotide ribosomal RNA is filed under the name uncultured Alphaproteobacteria bacterium. RNAcentral's name for it is "bacterial SSU rRNA". It matches the Rfam family "Bacterial small subunit ribosomal RNA", at positions 38 to 653 of the family's 1533-position model. Lineage: Bacteria; Pseudomonadati; Pseudomonadota; Alphaproteobacteria. The record is from RNAcentral.